UAGUAACGGCGAGUGAAGCGGGAUGAGCUCAAAUUUGAAAUCUGGCUGGUUUACUAGUCCGAGUUGUAAUUUAAAGAAGCGUUUUCGGUGGCAGCCUGGGUAUAAAUCCUUUGGAAUAGGGUAUCAUAGAGGGUGAGAAUCCCGUCUUUGACCUAGUGCAUGCUACUAUGUGAUACGUUUUCAAAGAGUCGAGUUGUUUGGGAAUGCAGCUCAAAAUGGGUGGUAAAUUUCAUCUAAAGCUAAAUAUUGGCGAGAGACCGAUAGCGAACAAGUACCGUGAGGGAAAGAUGAAAAGAACUUUGAAAAGAGAGUUAAACAGUGCGUGAAAUUGUUGAAAGGGAAACGUUUGACACCAGUCAUGUGGGUGGAAAAUCAGUCUUUUGCAUUGGGGAGUUGUAAGGGUUCGGACCGCAAGGCCGGCUUUUGCUUCAUCUUUGGUGUAAGUGAUGCACUUUUUCAUCUACAGGUCAACAUCAGUUUCUUUUGCUGGACAAAACUCCGAGAGAAGGUAGCAGCUUAGGCUGUGUUAUAGCUCUGGAGCGAUACAGUGAAGGGGACUGAGGUUUUCGCAGCGUGUGCUCUCGGGCAAGGCUGGAUGGGUGCUAUGGGAUCGUUCGGGGUACAAUGCCUGGCAUUUUGCUUCGUGUCUUUUCUAUACUCGCUCAACUCAGCUCUUCCACGCUUAGGAUGUUGACUUAAUGGUUUUAAACGACCCGUCUUGAAACACGGACCAAGGAGUCUAACAUAUAUGCAAGUGUUUGGGUGGCAAACCCAUGCGCGUAAUGAAAGUGAACGUAGGUGCGAUCCGCAAGGUGCAGCAUCGACCGAUCUUGAUAUUUUUGGAUAGAUUUGAGUAAGAGCAUAUAUGCUGGGACCCGAAAGAUGGUGAACUAUGCCUGAAUAGGGUGAAGCCAGAGGAAACUCUGGUGGAGGCUCGUAGCGAUUCUGACGUGCAAAUCGAUCGUCAAAUUUGGGUAUAGGGGCGAAAGACUAAUCGAA
RNAcentral lists this ribosomal RNA (999 nucleotides) under Mortierellales sp. Its description in RNAcentral is "partial large subunit ribosomal RNA". It matches the Rfam family "Eukaryotic large subunit ribosomal RNA", at positions 81 to 939 of the family's 3401-position model. Lineage: Eukaryota; Fungi; Mortierellomycota. The record is from RNAcentral.